GUACAGGGUCUACAGGAUAAAUCCUGAGGGCCUUGACUGACCUUGUACGAUACAAAAGUUACAUUUUUUGUUAUAUAAAUCUUGCUUUAUCUUGGUCUUAACCAUCCAGCAGGAGAGCA
Molecule: long non-coding RNA, 119 nt
Organism: Octodon degus (degu)
Lineage: Eukaryota; Metazoa; Chordata; Mammalia; Rodentia; Octodontidae
Exons: 3
Source: RefSeq, a predicted model, not a curated record